GGCUCAGGAUGAACGCUAGCUACAGGCUUAACACAUGCAAGUCGAGGGGAAACGAUAUUGGAAGCUUGCUUCCGAUAGGCGUCGACCGGCGCACGGGUGAGUAACGCGUAUCCAACCUGCCCAUCACUUGGGGAUAACCUUGCGAAAGUAAGACUAAUACCCAAUGACGUCUCUAGAAGACAUCUGAAAGAGAUUAAAGAUUUAUCGGUGAUGGAUGGGGAUGCGUCUGAUUAGCUUGUUGGCGGGGUAACGGCCCACCAAGGCGACGAUCAGUAGGGGUUCUGAGAGGAAGGUCCCCCACAUUGGAACUGAGACACGGUCCAAACUCCUACGGGAGGCAGCAGUGAGGAAUAUUGGUCAAUGGACGAGAGUCUGAACCAGCCAAGUAGCGUGCAGGAUGACGGCCCUAUGGGUUGUAAACUGCUUUUAUAAGGGAAUAAAGUGGGAGUCGUGACUCUUUUGCAUGUACCUUAUGAAUAAGGACCGGCUAAUUCCGUG
RNAcentral lists this ribosomal RNA (498 nucleotides) under uncultured bacterium. RNAcentral's name for it is "bacterial SSU rRNA". It matches the Rfam family "Bacterial small subunit ribosomal RNA", at positions 21 to 507 of the family's 1533-position model. The record is from RNAcentral.